CGUUGACCUCGAAUCAGGUAGGACUACCCGCUGAACUUAA
RNAcentral lists this ribosomal RNA (40 nucleotides) under Beauveria bassiana. RNAcentral describes it as "partial 26S ribosomal RNA". RNAcentral also lists the same sequence under 2 other names. Lineage: Eukaryota; Fungi; Ascomycota; Sordariomycetes; Hypocreales; Cordycipitaceae. The record is from RNAcentral.